AGUAGGGAAUCUUCCACAAUGGGUGCAAACCUGAUGGAGCAAUGCCGCGUGAAUGAAGAAGGUCUUCGGAUCGUAAAGUUCUGUUAUUAGAGAAGAACAAGUCAAGGAGUAACUGUCUUGACUUUGACGGUACCUAACCAGAAAGUCACGGCUAACUACGUGCCAGCAGCCGCGGUAAUACGUAGGUGACAAGCGUUGUCCGGAAUUAUUGGGCGUAAAGGGAGCGCAGGCGGUUGGAAUAGUCUGAUGUGAAAGCCCACGGCUUAACCGUGGAAGGUCAUUGGAAACUGUCCAACUUGAAUGCAGAAGAGGUAAGUGGAAUUCCAUGUGUAGCGGUGAAAUGCGUAGAUAUAUGGAGGAACACCAGUGGCGAAGGCGACUUACUGGUCUGUGAUUGACGCUGAGGCUCGAAAGCGUGGGUAGCGAACAGGAUUAGAUACCCUGGUAGUCCACGCCGUAAACGAUGAGUGCUAAGUGUUGGAGGGUUUCCGCCCUUCAGUGCUGGAGUUAACGCAUUAAGCACUCC
This 526-nucleotide ribosomal RNA is filed under the name uncultured Atopostipes sp. Its description in RNAcentral is "bacterial SSU rRNA". It matches the Rfam family "Bacterial small subunit ribosomal RNA", at positions 353 to 870 of the family's 1533-position model. Lineage: Bacteria; Bacillati; Bacillota; Bacilli; Lactobacillales; Carnobacteriaceae. The record is from RNAcentral.